AGUGAUGUGGAAGUGUUAACAAUUAUCUUUUAAUAUUUACAACGAUAAUCACAUCGUCAUAAUAAGAACCACCCUAAGGCACAAGUUGUUCUCGGAUCUACGUUUUGCGCUGCUCGCACGUAGAUUGCUUGUUAGUGGAGGAAGCUGAAUUUUAAAUGAAUGCAACUAUUAGUAUUUUUCGCCUCAGGUAUGGCAGUUAUCUACGUCAAUUCGCUACUGAGUUGUGAGAAUUUUAAUAACAUUGAAAAUGUCUUAAGCGUUUAACCGUGUAGCUAGAUGCUAAUUGGCGAAAAACAGAAUAUGUUUCAGGCGGCGGACAACGAGAGCGAGGUGGGCUAUGCAGUUUGAUGUCGUUGGUUCUGGAUGCAGUUUUCCUUAGGGUUUUUCUAAUUUCCGAAUGAGAAGAG
Long non-coding RNA from Aedes aegypti (yellow fever mosquito), 407 nucleotides. RefSeq lists it as uncharacterized. NCBI's taxonomy places the organism in Eukaryota, Metazoa, Arthropoda, Insecta, Diptera, Culicidae. The record is from RefSeq and is a predicted model, not a curated record. The transcript is spliced from 2 exons.